GACCAAAGUGGGGGACCUUCGGGCCUCACGCCAUAAGAUUAGCCCAAGUGGGAUUAGCUAGUUGGUGAGGUAAUGGCUCACCAAGGCGACGAUCCCUAGCUGGUUUGAGAGGAUGAUCAGCCACACUGGGACUGAGACACGGCCCAGACUCCUACGGGAGGCAGCAGUGGGGAAUAUUGCACAAUGGGCGCAAGCCUGAUGCAGCCAUGCCGCGUGUGUGAAGAAGGCCUUCGGGUUGUAAGGCACUUUCAGUAAGGAGGAAAGGUUAGUCACUAAUAUUGGCUAGCUGUGACGUUACUUACAGAAGAAGCACCGGCUAACUCCGUGCCAGCAGCCGCGGUAAUACGGAGGGUGCGAGCGUUAAUCGGAAUUACUGGGCGUAAAGCGUACGCAGGCGGUUUGUUAAGCGAGAUG
RNAcentral lists this ribosomal RNA (414 nucleotides) under uncultured bacterium. RNAcentral describes it as "bacterial SSU rRNA". It matches the Rfam family "Bacterial small subunit ribosomal RNA", at positions 199 to 594 of the family's 1533-position model. The record is from RNAcentral.